This 253-nucleotide ribosomal RNA is filed under the name uncultured bacterium. RNAcentral's name for it is "partial 16S ribosomal RNA". It matches the Rfam family "Bacterial small subunit ribosomal RNA", at positions 524 to 776 of the family's 1533-position model. The record is from RNAcentral.
UACGUAGGGGGCAAGCGUUGUCCGGAUUUAUUGGGCGUAAAGAGCGUGUAGGCGGCUUGGCAAGUCCGCUGUGAAAACUCGAGGCUCAACCUCGAGCUGUCGGUGGAAACUGCCUGGCUAGAGUCCGGAAGAGGCGAGUGGAAUUCCUGGUGUAGCGGUGGAAUGCGCAGAUAUCAGGAGGAACACCAAUAGCGAAGGCAGCUCGCUGGGACGGUACUGACGCUAAGGCGCGAUAGCGUGGGGAGCGAACAGG